Long non-coding RNA from Lycium barbarum (goji berry), 1504 nucleotides. RefSeq lists it as uncharacterized. Lineage: Eukaryota; Viridiplantae; Streptophyta; Magnoliopsida; Solanales; Solanaceae. The transcript is spliced from 3 exons. The record is from RefSeq and is a predicted model, not a curated record.
UUGGUGAUGUAACCUUGAUACAGCGAUAUCUCUGUCAAGAAUUCCUUUAGCCCUUGUACUGAUCCUUCUUUUGCUCGCUUGACAGCAAUAAUUGUUUUAUCAGUGAAAAUCCCCUUAAAGACAGACCCAUAUCCUCCUUCCCCAACUUGAUUUGAGUUAUCAAAGUAGUUAGUGGCCAAUAUCAUUUCUCUGAAAGUGAAGCUUUUAAUUUUUGCAGAAAAAGUUCAAAGAAACAUAUCUGAAUAAACUAAAGGUAAAGCUUACCAAAUGAGAGAACACACAUAAACGUUUCCUUGAUAGGAUGCUUUGGUAUUUGGCAUGUCAUCUUUUGAUAAACACAACAACAAUUGUUGAAACAAAAUGCAGCAAAAGCACCUGCUACAACGCCAACUAUCAAAGCUGUUACAUCCCGUAUUUUUGAACGUCAGAUUAUUUGUAAGCUGAGGUGGGGCCCACACGUCAAGAUUUUUUUUUUAUUUUUUUUGGGACAUGUGACAAAUUAUAUGAAUCACAUAUGUGAAGUUAAACACAACUCAAGAAGGACCCUUGGGCCAAAUCAAAGUGGAAGUCCUCCAAACGAAUAUUUUUAAGAAAACGUUUUCGGGUGACCUGACUUUGGGGGGCAAAAACGGUAUUAUAUGUUUGGAAUUUGGAAAAAUACCAAGAAGUAGAAGUUGUAGAUAAUUGAAUUAUCUUUCCAACCAUAGGUCGUGGGUUCCCAGGUGACGUCGGUACAAGGAGAUAUGGACGUUUUAAGGUCGAAAGGUCAGUGGGCUAGGCCCAACUCGGGACCAACCGAGUUGGCCCAAAAAAAUGAAAAGAAAAAUUUAGGCCCAAGGUGAGAGGGUGGCCGGCCAUACCUGGUCCAAGCCCACCAAAUUAAUUAAUUUCCAUGUGGCAAAUUAAUUAUAAAGGGAUCAUUAUCCCUUAGAUGAUUCAAGAAACUUAGAAGGAGAAAGAACAAACAAAACAAGAGCAAAAAAAAGGGCCAUUUCGGGUUUGGCCAUAGAAAAUUCACCCCUCCAAAUCUUCCUCCAAAAAUUAUUUUCUUGUGGUAUUCCUACUAAUUUAAGGGUCCUUUACAACUUGGUGUAAUUGUUUUGGAAGAAGGAGCACUUAUUUCUUCAAGUUGACAACUUGUUCAAGUGAAGGAAUUGUAGAAAAAGAUUUUGGGCGAAACGGGAAUUGAAUUUGGAAAGGCGUAAAGAGCAUAUAAGGUACAGACGACAGGUUUGCUGAUCCGCACGUUUAGGAUCCCAUUUCUGCUAUUUUGGGGCGCUCUCUUCUACAGAGCCCAUCUUUUGGUACAGUCUGUCACUGCUAUCUAGAUAUGUACUUUGUUCAGGGUAUGACGGGGCCCUGUCCCGUCUUAUGAUUAUGAUAUGUUCUGUAGAGGUCUGUGGAUACAUCUGUGUGGGUUCUGUACAUAUGUUUGGGAUGUUUUGUUUUAUGAUAGCCUUAUCGGCUUCUGUGUGCCAAGUCUGCUCUUCGGCUAAAUUCUGUA